This is a long non-coding RNA of Octodon degus (degu), 86 nucleotides long. RefSeq lists it as uncharacterized. The record is from RefSeq and is a predicted model, not a curated record. The transcript is spliced from 3 exons. NCBI's taxonomy places the organism in Eukaryota, Metazoa, Chordata, Mammalia, Rodentia, Octodontidae.
GAACAGACAUCUAGGACAGUCCAGUUUAUUUGCCGAGGAUUUCUCUUGGAAAAGAAUGCAGACUCGCAUUUUGCAUUCAGAAACUG